AUACGGAGGGGGCUAGCGUUGUUCGGAAUUACUGGGCGUAAAGGGCGUGUAGGCGGCUUCGCCAGUCAGGCGUGAAAGCCCCGGGCUUAACCUGGGAAUUGCGCUUGAUACUGCGAGGCUAGAGUUCGGGAGAGGAGAGCGGAAUUCCCAGUGUAGAGGUGAAAUUCGUAGAUAUUAGGAGGAACACCAGUGGCGAAGGCGGCUCACUGGCUCGAUACUGACGCUGAGGUACGAAAGUGUGGGGAGCAAACAGGAUUAGAAACCCCGGUAGUCC
Molecule: ribosomal RNA, 274 nt
Filed under: uncultured bacterium
Lineage: Bacteria
Description: partial 16S ribosomal RNA
Rfam family: Bacterial small subunit ribosomal RNA
Source: RNAcentral